RNAcentral lists this ribosomal RNA (497 nucleotides) under uncultured bacterium. Its description in RNAcentral is "partial 16S ribosomal RNA". It matches the Rfam family "Bacterial small subunit ribosomal RNA", at positions 28 to 507 of the family's 1533-position model. The record is from RNAcentral.
GAUGAACGCUGGCGGCGUGCCUAAUACAUGCAAGUCGAGCGAACGGACGAGGAGCUUGCUCCUCUGACGUUAGCGGCGGACGGGUGAGUAACACGUGGAUAACCUACCUAUAAGACUGGGAUAACUUCGGGAAACCGGAGCUAAUACCGGAUAAUAUUUUGAACCGCAUGGUUCAAUAGUGAAAGACGGUUUUGCUGUCACUUAUAGAUGGAUCCGCGCUGCAUUAGCUAGUUGGUAAGGUAACGGCUUACCAAGGCAACGAUGCAUAGCCGACCUGAGAGGGUGAUCGGCCACACUGGAACUGAGACACGGUCCAGACUCCUACGGGAGGCAGCAGUAGGGAAUCUUCCGCAAUGGGCGAAAGCCUGACGGAGCAACGCCGCGUGAGUGAUGAAGGUCUUCGGAUCGUAAAACUCUGUUAUUAGGGAAGAACAAAUGUGUAAGUAACUGUGCACGUCUUGACGGUACCUAAUCAGAAAGCCACGGCUAACUACGUG